UUGGCGACAUCCACCUCUUCGGUCUGUUCAUAGAGUUUACCGACCGCUUCGCCGAUACCGGGAUGCCAGCUCACCGCGCGGUUAACCGCUUCGCCAAGAUGCAGUGUGCCGGGGGCGUUUUUACUGGCGGGCGGUGCGAUGCGUCCGCUAAGAGAGGGGAGUUGUUCGCUCAGUUGUCCGGAAUUAAUGACCGCAGCGGGCGCGGCGGCGACGGGUACAGAUAACAGGCAGCAUGAAAGCCACCAGUAAGGCAUCUUCUUUCCCAUGUUAAGUCCCUGUCAAAAUACGCUUCUCGUUAUUGUUAAUGCCCGGGCGCUGUGCGCCCGGGUCA
Molecule: small RNA, 331 nt
Filed under: uncultured Enterobacter sp.
Lineage: Bacteria; Pseudomonadati; Pseudomonadota; Gammaproteobacteria; Enterobacterales; Enterobacteriaceae
Description: isrL Hfq binding RNA
Source: RNAcentral